This is a long non-coding RNA of Vicia villosa (hairy vetch), 277 nucleotides long. RefSeq lists it as uncharacterized. Lineage: Eukaryota; Viridiplantae; Streptophyta; Magnoliopsida; Fabales; Fabaceae. The transcript is spliced from 3 exons. The record is from RefSeq and is a predicted model, not a curated record.
UGCUGGUUGAAAGGGAGGUGAAGAUCUACAUCUUUCUUUCUUUAAUUUUCUUCUCUGUUCCUUAAUGUUUUUCGCCAGAAAAUUGAGGAGCAUGCUAUUAGGUGUGGAGAAGAAGAGGAAACAAUAAGAAAAGCUUGAUUCUAAUUUCACCUCAAGACCUCAGACUUCGAACAUGGAUGAAUCUGAGUCGUGGCAAGUCGGUUUUUGGACUGGAGCAUGGCUCAAAACUGGAGUAGGUUCAUUGGCACAAUAGGAAUUAAUUGGAUGCGACUAUACU